AGAGAGAACAGUCUAUGACUGGGGUGGCUGGGGUCUUUAACAAUUUUUAGGGCCUUCCUCUGACACCGCCUGGUGUAGAGGUCCUGGAUGGCAGGCAGCUUUGCCCCAGUGAUGUACUGGGCCGUACGCACUACCCUCUGAAGUGCCUUGCGGUCGGAGGCCGAGCAAUUGCCGUACCAGGCAGUGAUGUAACCGGUCAGGAUGCUCUCGAUGUUGCAGCUGUAGAACCUUUUGAGGAUCUCAGGACCCAUGCCAAAUCUUUUUAGUUUCCUGAGGGUGGAAUAGGCUUUGUCGUGCCCUCUUCACGACUGUCUUGGUGUGUUUGGACCAAUCUAGUUUGUUGUUGAUGUGGACACCAAGGAAUUUGAAGCUCUCAACCUGCUCCACUACAGCCCCGUCGAUGAGAAUGGGGAUGUGCUCGGUGCUCCUUUUCUUGUAGUCCACAAUCAUCUCCUUAGUCUUGGUUACGUUGAGGGAUAGGUUGUUAUUCUGGCACCACCCGGCCAGGUCUCUGAUCUCCUCCCUAUAGGCUGUCUUGUCGUUGUCGGUGAUCAGACUGUUGUGUCGUCAGCAAACUUAAUGAUGGUGUUGGAGUUGUGCCUGGCCAUGCAGUCGUGUGUGAACAGGGAGUACAGGAGGGGACUGAGCACGCACCCCUAGGGAGCUCCAGUGUUGAGGAUCAGCGUGGCAGAUGUGUUGAUACCUACCCUCACCACUUGGGGGCGGCCUGUCAGGAAGUCCAGGAUCCAGUUGCAGAGGGAGGUGUUUAGUCCCAGGUCCCUUAGCUUGGUGAUGAGCUUUGAGGGUACUAUGGUGUUGAACGCUGAGCUGUAGUCAAUGAACAGCAUUCUCACAUAGAUGUUCCUUUUGUCCAGGUGGGAAAGGACAGUGUGGAGUGCAAUAGAGAUUGCAUCAUCUGUGGAUCUGUUUGGGCGGUAUGCAAAUUGGAGUGGGUCUAGGGUUUCUGGGAUAUUGCUGUUGAUGUGAGCCAUUACCAGCCUUUCAAAGCACUUCAUGGCUACGGACGUGAGUGCUACGGGUCUGUAGUCAUUUAGGAAGGUUGCCUUUGUGUUCUUGGGCACAGGGACUAUGGUGGUCUGCUUGAAGCAUGUUGGUAUUACAGACUCAAUCAGGGACAUGUUGAAAAUGUCAGUGAAGACACCUGCAAGUUGGUCAGCACAUGCCCGGAGCACACGUCCUGGUAAUCCGUCUGGCCCCGCAGCCUUGUGUAUGUUGACCUGUUUAAAGGUCUUACUCACGUCGACUACGGAGAGCGUGAUCACACAGUCGUCCGGAACAGCUGAUGCUGUAAUAGUUUGCAAGCCCUGCUACAUCCGACGAGAGUCGGAGCCGGUGUAGUAUGAUUCAAUCUUAGCCCUGUAUUGACGCUUUGCCUGUUUGAUGGUUUGUCGCAGGGCAUAGCAGGAUUUCUUGUAAGCUUCCGGGUUUGAGUCCCGCACCUUGAAAGCGGCAGCUCUACCCUUUAGCUCAGUGUGAAUGUUGCCUGUAAUCCAUGGCUUCUGGUUGGGGUAUGUACGUACAGUCACUGUGGGGACGACGUCCUCAAUGCACUUAUUGAUAAAGCCAGUGACUGAAGUGGUGUAUUCCUCAAUGUCAUCGGAAGAAUCGCGUAACAUGUUCAAGUCUGUGAUAGCAAAGCAGUCCUGUAGUUUAGCAUCUGCUUCAUCUGACCAUAUUUUUAUAGACCGAGUCACUGGUGCUUCCUGCUUUAAUUUUUGCUUGUAAGCUGGAAUCAGGAGGACAGAGUUGUGGUGAGAUUUACCAAAUGGAGGGCGAGGGAGAGCUUUGUACGCGUCUCUGUGUGUGGAGUACAGGUGAUCUAGAAUUUUUUUCCCUCUGGUUGCACAUUUAACAUGUUGAUAGAGAUUUGGUAGAGCUGAUUUAAGUUUCCCUGCAUUAAAGUCUCCGGCCACUAGAAUCGAGGCUGUAUCACAUCCGGCUGUGAUUUGGAGUCCCAUAGGGUGGAGCACAAUUGGCCCAGCGUCGUUCGGGUUGUAAAUAAGAAUUUGAUCUUAACUGACUUGCGUAGUUAAAUAAAAAAAUAUAGGGUUAGGUUAUCACAUAAAGGAUUUAAGAAGUCUUCAUUAAGCCUUAGAAGUUAUGUUUAAUUUAAAGUACAUUCAACAGAUCAAGACCACAGAUCAGGUAUCAUUUUGUAGAACAUAUCGCAAAGGGAAGAUAUCAGCCUUCAAUUAUUUUAAUUGCUGUUAUGACUUUCUACGCUAAUAACAUUAACAGAUCAACUCAGACUUCAUUGUUCAAAUGAUAUGAAUAGACUGAUGCCAUGGUCUGAAAAGAGUGGCUGGGUUUUAAAUGUUUUAUUUGUCAGAGUCUUCUGGCGCUUGAUGGGAUCCAUUAAAAAUAAAAGGUACCUAUCGUAAUACCAAUGCACGGCUUGAUUGGCAGAAUGACAGGACUCAUUGUCCAAGAGAAACAGAGACAUAAUACAAGGGGGAAUGAGAUUGAUAUGGAGGGGCGAGACAGGAUGAAGUCAUUUGCAGACUGUGAUUAGAAGGUAAAGAAGGCUUUUUUUCUUUUAUUUUUUGUUCUUUUUUUCUCUUGAAACAUCUUUUUCCUGAUAGCUCAUUGCCCUGAAUGUCAUACCAGACUUAAAUGGAAUUUCUAUUGACAUUUCAGACUUUUCUUUUCAUUUUCUUUUUAAGUCUGUGCCAAUUUUGAGUUAAUCCAUAAUGCGGUCUCUUCUUUGUUUCAUGGCUUGAAGAAAAGACGUUGCACUCUUAAAGAAGUCUUCAGCAAGUAUUUAUUCAUGAUGCACAUUGCUGGGAUAGUUUUAACACUGAUUUCCAACGUGCACAAUUGGAACAUGUAGUAGGUGUUGUCUUCGACUGAACUAAUUAAGUCCCCCUUUAUCUAGCACUCCAUUGUUGUCACCCAUCAGGCAUUAUUGUUUGUGUGUUAUGUUCAGACGUUACUCUUGUUCCUGUGUCCACUCUAUGUUUGUUCUUAUUAAACUCACCGACUGCACCUGCUUCCUGGACUCCCGGUGUCUUCAUUACAGAAUGAUGCCUCACAGAAUGGAAGCAGCAGCCAACCGAAACAUCUCCCAGAUGGUCGGCAAACAGGGAGACCUACUUCAACACGCCACGACCAGUGGGCGCAACUGGGGACGGCUAUGGAUGAGGUCCUCCGUGUUCUUCAACAUCUAGAUCUUCCUCAAGGGGCAUCACCUCCUACGAGCGGAGGAUCUUCUAUCAUGAGUCGACCCAGCGAGCCAGCACCCCAGCCCAUUGUCCCUCAAAUAUGACCGGAUUCCAUCCAAAUGCCGUGGCGUCCUCCUCCUGUGCUCCCCCUAUUUUGCUCAUCAAACGGGAGCCCCGCACCAACGAGAGGUCCAAGGUUGCUGACCAGGCGGGCAUUGGAGUGGGCUACAGCCAUCUGGAGGACGUGGGUUCCUAUGGGAGGUUCAUGGCUCUGUUCAGAGGAGUCUUCGAUCAUCUACCGGAGGGCAGAGAGGGGGGUGAGCCCCUAUUCCGACUGCGGCAGGAGGACCAGACCGCUGCGGAGUAUGGUCUCACCUUCCAUACAGUGGCAGCAUCCAGUGGAUGGAAAGAGUCAGCACUCUGCACCUUAUUCAGAAGAGGACUGUGCGAGGAGGUCCAGACAGAGUAGGCAUGCCGAGACAACACCCUCUCAUUCGACACACUCAUUGCGAUGGCCAUCCGUCUGGAUAACCUCCUUUGGGAGCAUCUGCACUCCCAUCGCCUCUCUCCCUGCUUUGUUUACAGAUCUGAGUCACAGCCUGAACCCAAGGAGGUAGAGGCCACACGCCUCCCCGCGGCUGAGCGACGCAGUCGGAGACAGAUGGGGCUCUGUCCUUAUUGUGGUCAGGAAGGGCACCAGCUUCAACAGUGUCCACUUCGUACCAACACGGAAGCCACUAGAGCAGAGGGACGGCCCGUGAUCAUCCGUCUCCUGGGCUCUAGUGGACUCCGUUGCCGCUUGGAAUUUUAUUGACCAGGCCCUUGCCUCCUCCCUGAACAUAACAUCAUACCCGCUCUCCUCUCUGUUACCAGUUCAAGCGCUGGAUAACCGACCACUGGGAUCUGGGCCUAUCACACACAUCACAGCACCACUCACCAUUACUGUGGUACCCCUGCACCAAGAAAACCUUCCCUUCCUCAUCAUCCAGGCACCCGUACACAAAGUCAUCCUUGGCCUCCUGUGGCUCCAAUGCCAUGACCCCAUCACCUUCUGGUCGAGGAUGGAGAUCACGGCCUGGGCAUCCGGAUGUUGGAAGACCUGUUUUCCCUUACCCUGUGGUUCCACGUCGGUUGAGAGUCCUGUGGUUGCCAUGCCGGUGGACAUUCCGGAGGUUUACCAUGAUCUCAAGGAGGUUUUCUUCAAGACCCGCUCCACCUGUCUCCCUCCUCAUUGCCCCUGGGACUGUGUAACUGACCUGCUAACAGACUCUGAGCCUCUACGCAGCCGCAUCUACCCCCUAUCGGUGGCUGAAACAAAGGCUAUGAAGGAGUACAUCCAGGAGGCUCUCCAACAGGGUUUCAUCAGCCCAUCCAUCUCCCCUGCAUCGGCAGGUUUCUUCUGCGUGGCCAAGAAGGAGGGUGUCUUCGUCCAUGUAUUGACUACAGAGCUCUUAAUAACAUCACCACCAAGCUCCGCUACCCCCUCCUGUUGGUGCCGGCCGACAUUGAACAGCUCCACGGGGCCCAUUUUUUUAAAACUAAGCUGGACCUGUGGAGUGCCUACAAUUUGAUCCGCAUCCGGGAGGGGAAUGAAUGGAAGACGGCCUUCAGCACGAUGUCUGGGCACUACGAGUACUUGGUGAUGCCUUAUGGAUUAGCCAAUGCUCCAUCGGUGUUCCCGGCAUCCGUGAACGGGUUGUUUCAGGACAUGCUUGGGCAUCAGGUGGUCGUGUAUAUUGACGAUAUCCUGAUCUUCUCGGCCACCUUAGAGGACCACAUUGCCCACAUCCGGGUACUCCUGGAACGCCUCCUGGAGAAUCAUCUGUAUGUCAAAGCAGAGAAGUGCCAGUUCCAUCAGGCCUACGUCUCCUUCUUUGGAUAUCGGAUCAGCCCGCAGGGAGUGGUUAUGGAGGAGAGGAAGGUAGACGCAGUCAGGUCAUGGCCAGUCCCAACCACCAUAAAGGGACUACAAUGUUUUUUGGGGUUUGCCAACUUCUACCGCCGCUUUAUUAGGAACUUCAGCUCUAUUGCCUCUCCUCUCACAUCUUUUCUCAAAGGUGGACCCCGUAAGUUGGAGUGGAAUCCUGCAGCCUUCUGCCUACUGAAGGGGCGUUUCACCUCUGCCCAUUGUUGAAACACCCAGAUCCUAUGCUGUCCUUCAUGGUGGAGGUGGACACCUCAGAAGUGGGCGUAGGGGCCGUCCUGUCACAACGUCAAGUUAAAUCACAAAAAUUGUAUCCAUGUGCAUACUACUCUAAAAAAAAUGUCUCCUUCAGAAAGGAACUAUGACGUCGGUGAGCGGGAGCUCCUGGCGGUGAAUUUGGCAUUAAAGGAGUGGAGACAGUGGCUGGAGGGCACCACGGACCCGUUUCCCAUCCUCACCGACCAUCGGAACCUGGAGUACAUACGGAUAGCGAGGCGGCUGAACCCGCGCCAAGCAAGGUGGACCCUUUUCUUUACUAGAUUCAACUUCACCAUGUCAUACCACCCAAUGCCAAUGCCCUGUCGGGAGAAGUUCCAGUCCUGAGGGUGCCCAUCAUACCGCCCUCCCGAAUCAUUUCCCCCAUGCUUUGGUACAUAGACGUGGACAUCUGCCAGGCUCUGGAGAGGGAACCCGCGCCUGCUACGUGUCCUCCGGAGCACACCUACAUGGAGGUAAGGGUUAGGCCAUUGACCUGGGCGCACACAUCCCUUGACACUGGUCACCCAGGUAUCACCCGCACCACUCAAUCUAUCUCUGUUAAGUAGUGGUGGCCCACCUUGGCACAGGACGUAGCAUGCUACGUCAACUCCUGAUCCGUAUGUUCUCAAACCAAGUCUCCCCAGCAUGCUCAAGCAGGGAAACUCCUUCCCCACCCGUGCCUCAGCGGUCCCAUCUGCCUAUAGAUUUUGUUACUGAUCUUCCCGUCUGAUGGUUUCACCACUGUUAUGGUUGUUGUGGACAGAUUCUCCAAAUCCUGCCAUUUUAUCUCUCUCUGGUCUCCCUACCGCUCUCCAUGUUGCUGAGGAACUGUUCCAGCAGGUCUUCCGGCACGAUUGCCUUCCGGAGGACCGUCGUGAGUAUGAAGAGCCUUCAUGGAGAAGCUGGGGGUCAUGGUCAUCUGGGUACUGGCCUCAGUCCAAUGGGCAGGUGGUAAGGACCAACCAGGAGCUGGGGAGGAUCCUGAGGAGUCACUGUCAGGACCGGCAGAGGGAGUGGGCCCGGUUUCUUCCCUAGGCGGAGUACGCCCAGAACUCACUUUGUCCCUAUUCCACAGGGUUGUCUCUCUUCCAGUGUUUCCUGGGGUACCAGCCUCCCCUGGCCUCACGGGCCCCGAGCCAGACCGAAGCCCCUGCGGUGGACGAGUGGAGCAGGCGGACCGCCCCCGCAGUGAGGCACCGGUUUCCAUCCUGGUGAUUGCGUCUGGCUUUCCACCAGGUACCUCCCUCUCCGCCUGCCCUGCCGGAAGCUGAGCCUCUGGUUUGUCGGGCCAUUCAAAGUCCUCCGGCCGAUGGUUCCUGGUCCCCUGGCUGAUGCCGUCCACCACGACACCCCUCCGCCUCCCUUGGACAUUGAGGGAGGUCCCGCCUACGCUUUCAGAACCCUCCUGUACUCCAGAUGUCGUAAAGGUCGGCUCCAGUACCUGGUGGACUGGGAGGGGUACGGUCCAGAGGAGCGGUGUUGAGUUCCGGUGGACAACAUUCUAGAUCCCAACAUCAUCCGAGAUUUCCGUCUUUGUCGUCCAGACUGGCCCACUCCUCACCCUAAGGACAGUCCUCCUGGACGGCGUCGUCAUGAGGCUGGAGCAUGAAAACGAUGUAAACUAUAUGCCAUGGCCGUCUCAGUCACCAGAUCUCAAUUUUAUUUGAGGCCUUUCUCUGUUUUCACUGGAUGGGGAGCAAUGGUCCCUCCCUCUGGUGCUCAACGUCGCCGGUCCACUAACCACCUGUCCUGGCAACCCAUCAUUACGCACACCUGGCAACCUUCAUUACGCACACCUGGACUUUAUCACUUCCCUGAUUACUCCACCUUUAUCUGGCACUCUGUUGUCACCUAUCAGGAAUUAUUGUUUCUGUGUUAUGGUCAGACGCUGCUCUUGUUCCUGUAUCUACUCUAUGUUUGUUCUUAUUAAACUCACCGACUGCACAAGCUUCCUGACUCCAGGCAUCUUUGUUACAGCACCCAUGAACCCAACUGUUAUCACUUCAAUAAAGAAUACAUAAAACAAUAUGUAAAAACAUACAGUUGAAGUCGGAAGUUUACAUACACUUAGGUUGGAGUCAUUAAAACUUGUUUUUCAACCACUCCACAAAUGUCUAGUUAACAAACUAUAGUUUUGGCAAGUCGGUUAGGUCAUUUACUUUGUGCAUGACACAAGUAAUUUUUCCAACAAUUGUUUACAGACAGAUUAUUUCACUUAUAACUCACUGUAUCACAAUUCCAGUGGGUCGGAAGUUUACAUACACAAAGUUGAAUGUGCCUUUAAACAGCUUGGAAAAUUCCAGAAAAUUAUGUCAUGGCUUUAGAAGCUUCUGAUAAGCUAAUUGACAUCAUUUCAGUCAAUUGGAGGUGUACCUGUGGAUGUAUUUCAAGGCCUACCUUCAAACUCAGUGCCUCUUUGCUUGACAAUCCCCAGUUUACAAUUGGCUCAUUCAUCCCCUCCUCUCCCCUGUAACUAUUCCCCAGGUCGUUGCUGCAAAUGAGAACGUGUUCUCAGUCAACUUACCUGGUAAAAUAACGGUAAAAAAAAAAAAAAAAAAAAAAAAAAAAAAACAUCAUGGGAAAAUCUAAAGAAAUCAGCCAAGUCCUCGGAAAACAAUUGUAGACAUCCACAAGUCUGGUUCAUCCUUGGGAGCAAUUUCCAAACGCUGAAGGUACCACGUUCAUCUGAACAAACAAUAGUACGCAAGGAUAAACACCAUGGGACGACAUAGCCGUCACACCACUCAGGAAGGAGACGCAUUCUGUCUCCUAGAGAUGAACUUACUUUGGUGUAAAAAGUGCAAAUCAAUCCCAGAACAACAUCAAAGGACCUUGUGAAGAUGCUGGAGGAAACAGGUACAAAAGUAUCUAUAUCCACAGUAAAACAAGUCCUAUAUCGGCAUAACCUGAAAGGCCGCUCAGCAAGGAAGAAGCCACUGCUCCAAAACCGCCAUAAAAAAGCCAGACUACGGUUUGCAACUGCACAUGGGGACAAAGAUCAUACUUUUUGGAGAAAUGUCCUCUGGUCUGAUGAAACAAAAAUAUAACUGUUUGGCCAUAAUGACCAUCGUUAUGUUUGGAGGAAAAAGUGGGAGGCUUGCAAUCCGAAGAACACCAUCCCAACCGUGAAGCACGGGGGUGGCAGCAUCAUGUUGUGCUUUGCUGCAGGAGGGACUGGUGCACUUCACAAAAUAGAUCGCAUCAUGAGGGAGGAAAAUUAUGUAGACAUAUUGAAGCAACAUCUCAAGACAUCAAUCAGGAAGUUAAUGCUUGGUCGCAAAUGGGUCUUCCAAAUGGACAACGACCCCAAGCAUACUUCCAAAGUUGUAGCAAAAUGGCUUAAGGACAGCAAAGUCAAGAUAUUGGAGUGGCCAUCACAAAGCUCUGACCUCAAUCCCAUAGAAAAUGUAUGGGGAGAAGUGAAAAAGUGUGUGAGCAAGGAGGCCUACAAACCUGAGUCAGUUACACCAGUUCUGUCAGGAGGAAUGGGCCAAAAUUCACCCAACUUAUUGUGGGAAGCUUGUGGAAGGCUACCCGAAACGUUUGACCCAAGUUAAACAAUUUUUAGGCAAUGCUACCAAAUACUAAUUGAGUGUAUGUAAACUUCUGACCCACUGGGAAUGUGAAGAAAUAAAUAAAAGCUGAAAUAAAUCAUUCUCUCUACUAUUAUUCUGACAAUUCACAUUCUUAAAAUCAGGUGGUGAUCCUAACUGACCUAAAACAGGGAAUUUUUACUGGGAUUAAAUGUCAGGAAUUGUGAAGAACUGACUUUAAAUGUGUUUGGCUAAGGUGUAUGUAAACUUCUGACUUCAACUGUAUGAUUUAAUUGAGACAUUAAGUGAGCAAAAUUAAGUUAAACUCAACUAAUUUUUUAACUCAAUUACACUGACCUUUGGACCUUUUGACACUUGUAAUAUUUUGCCUAUAUGAGUCAUCUAUCUGAAGGACAGGUCAGCUGCACAUUCUGAGCUAUCUGAAAAUAAUAUUUGAAUGGAAUCAUUUUCAAUUUGAUCAAAACCACCCACACUGAAUAGAAGAGGCUGACCUAGUGUGUGGGUAUUGCUUUUUUCACUACAGCCAGUGUGUGGAACAGUGACCCCAAUCUAUGCACUCACUGACCCAGACGGGUCCACCACUCACCAUCCAUGCAGUGGAGCUUUCAUAAUAAGAGAAUGAAGGACUCGUGCUUAUGCAACACUAACAAUCAAGAAUUUGUUUCUUUGUUUAAAACACUCUUUCAUUGUAUUAUUGAUGAAUGAAUUUAACAUUUAGACAGAAAUGUGAUCCUCUUAUUCUUUAGGGAAGCCUGUUGAAUGUAAAGAAUACAUGUGACGCAUUGGUAGAAUGUCCGUAGAAUCACAUGAAGCUUGUAACAGCCAGAAAGGUCAUAUUUGUCCAAGUGAAAAUGUCCUGUUCAUUCUCCGUCGUCAAAGAGAUUCUUAAUAGGAAUAGCAAUGGUGUGAGGAAAUUAGGAUUUUCCUCUACUGCUAUCUGCUGAUGAAGCAUUGUAAUGAGUGGAUUAGGAACUUUCAGAUUCAGAGGCGUACAAUUUGGAUUAAAGGUGAAACCCUCUCAAAAAUCCUAAUUACCGAGUUUAAUUAGGAUUCCAAUAGGUUGGAUAUCAAGAGGGAUGGUAUGGAGGUGGGUUUUAAAUCGUUAUAAAGGGUAAGACAAUAUCCCCUUUGAGAUGCGUGAGUCACUUUCCCACCUUUUGACAUUCGGAACGGCUUACUUGCGUCAGUCAAAUUCAUAGCUGUUCAUGGGGAAAUAAAUUCCCACUGUGCAGUGUUUGUGCAGUAUGCUUAUUUCAGUUGAAGGUCUCAGGAAUUGUUCAGUUGAAUGAAGUGGCUCUGAAUGCCAUAAAAUUGUCAAUUUAAACCAUUAAUUGUCAAUAGAAUGGUACUCUGAGAGGUCCUCAGCAAUAGGCAGCAUUGUGGCAGCAAACGCUUAGUGUUUGGCAGUUAAUUGAAUUUUAUUGUCAGUCCAGAAUUCUCUGUGGAUGGUCUCACUGUUAGGGGUUCGCGAAAAAUCCUACCUACCUAUCUACCUACCUCCCUACCUAUAUGUCCUUAAAAGAAGGACAAAAACACUUCCAUCUGAUUGCUUUCUAAUUUUCUGCCUCAUUUAAUCCAAUGCUUUGGCCAAUCUGCCCUCUGCCAAUCGACGUCUAUAAUUUCUCUGGUAGCCAUUUCUCCUCUGUCCACUCAUCCACUUUUCUCUUUUUUAAUUCCUUGACCUUGUGCUUUCUGAGAAGCUGAUCCAGGAGCAUGUCGAGCCACCUGGAACCCCAGUGGUACUGUUGGAUCCCUCUUUGCCUUGCUUUCUCUCCCUCAUCCUCCCCCUUUCUUUCUCUGCCUCUCUUUGCCUCUCUCCC
This is a long non-coding RNA of Salvelinus fontinalis (brook trout), 10738 nucleotides long. RefSeq lists it as uncharacterized. The transcript is spliced from 3 exons. Lineage: Eukaryota; Metazoa; Chordata; Actinopteri; Salmoniformes; Salmonidae. The record is from RefSeq and is a predicted model, not a curated record.